This 439-nucleotide unclassified non-coding RNA is filed under the name Hevea brasiliensis (rubber tree). Lineage: Eukaryota; Viridiplantae; Streptophyta; Magnoliopsida; Malpighiales; Euphorbiaceae. The record is from RNAcentral.
ACCCCAUCCUCCUAUGCCUGAUGGCUGUUGACUGCUAAAACCCCAUUUCCUAUCAUCUGCCUUUCUCCUUCCUCUCUUAUCCCUCCAUACUUUACAGGGCCAUUGCCAUGUCCUCUUUUGCCGCUCCCACCAAUCUCAUAGCCAACGCUCCUCUCUCCUCCUCCUCCUCCUCCUCUCUACCUUCACGCCGCAAGUCAGGUGCUAGUGCUGCCGCCCCUCGUGCUUCCCCCUUCAAAUGCGAUCUUUCCUCCUUUUCGAACUUAUCUUCAUCCUCGCAAAAUCCUAAACCCCGUGAUUCCAACUCACACAGUUCAAUUCUUAAAUCCUUGUCUAAGUCCCUAGCCCUUGCUGGAGUUGGCGCUUCCGCCGCCACUUUCCUCCUCCGACUCACCCCCAUCUUCAACGAGGGCCCUGGCAGCUUCGGCGGUGAUAAUGGCGG